Non-coding RNA from Osmia lignaria (orchard mason bee), 1954 nucleotides. NCBI's taxonomy places the organism in Eukaryota, Metazoa, Arthropoda, Insecta, Hymenoptera, Megachilidae. The record is from RefSeq and is a predicted model, not a curated record.
GUCGAACCCUGAGACACGAUCGCUUGACUGAGGCAAAUCACUCUUCGUCGAAAAAUCGCAAGAUUUCUAGACGACACCAGCGAUUAACGAUACAAAAUCAAAUUAUCUUAUCGUAUAUUAUUUUACAUCGAUCUUGGUAAGUUGUCCAUUUCAUUUUAUCCAAUACGACGAAUCUGGAUGUGGUGAGGCAAAACGGGCGAUCUACGAAACCGUGUAUUCUGGAAAGUUUCCCUCUAGAUCGUUCCGUUCAGUAUAGAGACUCAAGGUAUCGAAAAUUAACAUUACUAAAUAAAAUUCCGAUUCACACGCAAAGACGGCCCCACGAAACCGUGGCUCUGGUAAUUUACCCUCUGGGACCGUUAUCAGGGAGACAUUACAUCAAUCCAGACGAAUCCUUUUACAAUUAUUUAUUUACUUUAGAAAACAUCUUUUUUCAAAUGCACAUUCUAUUUUACCUCGCACCCAUGUAGGUAAAGAUAUGUAUCAUUUAUGUAGAAAUGUAACUGGUUUUAUUCACCCUUGCGACAAUUUUCCUCUAGAAUAUUUAUUAAAGUUAUUUAUUAGAUUAAGAAUUUAUUAUACAGCAAUAGGGAUUUUAAAACUUGCAUUAGAAAAGAUAGGAAACUGCAUAUUGUAUUACAUUUUUUUGAUCUUUGGCGUGGUCGAAAGCGUUCGGUGGGCAACAUAGAAACAGAAACGUCUCCAAAAAUGCCAGCCCUUAUGGGCGAAAUUCGUGGUAUGGUAUGGUAUGGUAAACGCCAUAACUUCCAUUUCAUUUCGACAGGAACAACAAAAUGGUUACCAGAAAUGAGAAGUAGAUAUUCUACGAUAUCCCCAGCAACAGGUAGUGGAUAAACAUUGGAGAUAUGACUGUGCACGGUGCAAAACUAAAAUUGCACUCAAAGAAGAGCAUGUGCAUGCGGAGGGAUAGGAAAAGGGAUCUUUUAUCCAGAACUGCUUUCACUGAAUCAAACCGUCGCAGUAAACCCUUAUUCAAGGCAACUCGACUGUUUAAGCCUUGCUUUGAAAACUAAACCGCUCAGCCUGGUAAACAAAGGAGACAUAAUCUUUCAGUAUAACAGAGAUCCUCUAUCAUAGAUGUCACCCUUCAAAAGGUGAAGCAACUAGAGUGAACGCAGGCAAUCUGAUUAUUUGGUAUCUUUUUGAACAGAAAAAAAGAGAUCUCAUGAAUGAUUUGUACCUUUGAUUAUACAAUGAAAUUGGUGGAGAAAUAAAUUUAAUGACGAUUGUGUUCUAACAAACAAAUAUUGAAAGAACACGUGUGCACAAGUAUUACGUAAUUCUGUGUGCUCGAAAUCAACGUGACCAAUGUAUUUACAAUUUCACUGUGCGACGAACACCGAUCUGUAACAGGGCAAAACAAACAAGCCCUUUAUCCGACUAACCAGUUCCCGUAAUGCUUUGCAAGUUACAUCAAUAGCAAGCCUGUUGAAAAGCUCUCCGGUUAAGUGUUCCCAUUUAACGUUGAAAUUGAUGUCAGCCAUUGAAAAUCAACACCAAUGUUCAUCAUCACUGGCAAUGACAUUGUACUAUUUUGAAAAUAAUUCAAAUAUUUAGCCUUUCAAUUACACAUUGAAAAAUGGUAUAAAUAUUUUAAGAAGAUUUAAAUAUUGAAGGAAUUUCAAAUUUUGUAUACUGUAGUCCAUGUUACGUUAAUAGGAUUUUAGCUUAUGAAUUCAUGUCGCGUACGUCCAUCAAUAAUAAAGAGACAUUCUGUUUGACGGGACCAGAAAUGGUUGGUGAGACUAUUGAAGUUAGACGAUUAACCUGGGAAACAUACACAAUAACUUUCUAGCAAGUCCUCGACCAUUCAUUUCUCUAUAUAGGGUGACAGGAACACAGGUGGUAAAAUUUUGGUAGCGUAUAUUCAUCCUGUAGAUGUAAAAAGAUGAUGUAAAUAUAAAAUGCCAUAGAUCGUCUAUUUUAUUAAUUA